Molecule: ribosomal RNA, 502 nt
Filed under: uncultured bacterium
Lineage: Bacteria
Description: bacterial SSU rRNA
Rfam family: Bacterial small subunit ribosomal RNA
Source: RNAcentral
AUUGAACGCUGGCGGAAUGCUUUACACAUGCAAGUCGAACGGCAGCACGGGGCAACCUGGUGGCGAGUGGCGAACGGGUGAGUAAUAUAUCGGAACGUGCCCAAUCGUGGGGGAUAACGUAGCGAAAGUUACGCUAAUACCGCAUACGAUCUACGGAUGAAAGCGGGGGAUCGCAAGACCUCGCGCGAAUGGAGCGGCCGAUAUCAGAUUAGGUAGUUGGUGGGGUAAAGGCUCACCAAGCCAACGAUCUGUAGCUGGUCUGAGAGGACGACCAGCCACAACUGGAACUGAGACACGGUCCAGACUCCUACGGGAGGCAGCAGUGGGGAAUUUUUGGACAAUGGGCGCAAGCCUGAUCCAGCCAUUCCGCGUGCAGGAUGAAGGCCUUCGGUUGUAAACUGCUUUUGUACGGAACGAAACGGUCUGCCUAAUAACGGCAGGCUAAUGACGGUACCGUAAGAAUAAGCAACCGGCUAACUAACGUGCCAGCAGCCGCGGUAAG